This 871-nucleotide long non-coding RNA is filed under the name Malus domestica (apple). RNAcentral's name for it is "long non-coding RNA (MDOM_LNC011104)". The record is from RNAcentral. Lineage: Eukaryota; Viridiplantae; Streptophyta; Magnoliopsida; Rosales; Rosaceae.
GCCUCAAGCCACGUCAUCAUUUAACAGAGGAAUUGACAGACAACUGACGGAAGGUAUGACAUUGCAACAAAUUCGAAGAUAAGGUAUGACAUUAAAACUUUUUAAAGACGAGGUAUGAAACUGUUAAUGACUCAAUAGUUGAGGUAGUUUUAUGUAAUUUACCCUUUUUUAAUCUAUCCAAAUUAUAAACAUGGACAAUGAAAUUAUGUUUUAAGUAAAAUCUAUAUAAUACAAAAUUGAGAUGUGACGUGAUAUUACCGUCAUACUACGCAAUAUAAUCCGCCAAUAACAUAAAGGAAUUUAACUAAACUAAACUCAAACGAAUUUCUUUCCUAUUCUUUUGUAAUAAAGUUCGAUUGACACGAAUAUUUUUUUCAUGUUGUUUUAGUUUAGAUACAAAAUUUAAAGAAGGUGUUAAAAAAAUAAGGGAUAAUGUGUCACUAAUAGGAAAUAAGCAUGUUAAUUGACACUUAAUUAACAAUUCAUUCAUCAACAACCUUAAUUUACAUAAUUUAAUUUAAAAUGUUAAUCUCUCUAACAUUAUCCAAAUUUAAAACAGAAUCUAGCCGUUAUGAGUUAACUACUUAACUUGUAGCUUUUAUCAUUUCUAGGGAUGUAGGCAAAUCAUUGUGAAUGCAUGAAUGAAACCUCCCUUAUUUACUUUCAUCAUGAAAUAACGAUAGAUUAACUUUAACAAGUCACGCACUUCACACACUUAUCAAGCGGCCAGCCCAAACAUCUUCCAUGUGCCAAAAUUUUAAAACAAAAAAGACUAUUUUGUUGGUCAAAACAUGAAAUUAAAACUAAAAAAAAAAAGGAUAUGGCAGGUGACAACAACCCAAAAAAUGGAAAAAGUCAACCCAACGGAGUG